Molecule: ribosomal RNA, 472 nt
Filed under: uncultured bacterium
Lineage: Bacteria
Description: partial 16S ribosomal RNA
Rfam family: Bacterial small subunit ribosomal RNA
Source: RNAcentral
GACGAACGCUGGCGGCGUGCUUAACACAUGCCAGUCGAACGAUGAACCCGGAGCUUGCUCUGGGGGCUUAGUGGCGAGCGGGUGAGUAACACGUGAGUAACCUGCCCUGGACUCUGGGAUAAGCGUUGGACACGACGUCUAAUACAGGAUAGGACCUUGGGUCGCAUGAUCUGGGUUGGACAGUUUUUUCGGUCUGGGAUGUACUCGCGGCCUAUCAGCUUGUUGGUGAGGUAAUGGCUCACCAAGGCGUCGACGGGUGGCCGGCCUGAGAGGGUGACCGGCCACACUGGGACUGAGUCACGGCGGAGGCAGCUGCGGGGGGUAGCAGAGGGGAAGAGUGCACAUGGGGCGAAGGCGUGAUGCAGCAGAGGGGCGUGCGGGAGUACGGCCGUCGGGUUGUAAACGGCGUUGAGUAGGGUAGAAGGGCGGCGGCUUGACGGUACCUGCAGAAAAAGCACCGGCUAACUACGUG